CCGACCUCCAAUAGACCCGAGCUCUGUAAACAAAUACAGAUUCCACUGGACCAACCCACUCACCAAAACACGGGAAUUAGUGACUGGGUCCCCAACUUACUAUAAGGCGAAUGAGACUAAUCUACUGCCAAGCGACUACUAGAUGCGGAAGUGGAAUCAGUGAUCCUAUCCUUUCUUUAUAAAGAGAACUGCCAGUCCACUACUGGACAAGUAUAGAAACUCAAACCACAACUUCUCUAUUUCUUCUUUGCUUAACACAAGCAAAAGAGCCUUACAAUUAAGCUUCCAACCAGGGGACUAUCACUUAACUCGACCAGGAACAGGAGAA
RNAcentral lists this long non-coding RNA (328 nucleotides) under Musa acuminata (dwarf banana). Its description in RNAcentral is "long non-coding RNA (MACU_LNC007803)". Lineage: Eukaryota; Viridiplantae; Streptophyta; Magnoliopsida; Zingiberales; Musaceae. The record is from RNAcentral.